GGCACUGUGGCUUAAGUGGUAGAGCACUAGCCUUUUGAGCUAAAGAGCUGAGGGACAAUGCCCAGUCCCA
Molecule: non-coding RNA, 70 nt
Organism: Dipodomys ordii (Ord's kangaroo rat)
Lineage: Eukaryota; Metazoa; Chordata; Mammalia; Rodentia; Heteromyidae
Source: Rfam